Molecule: non-coding RNA, 1283 nt
Organism: Meleagris gallopavo (turkey)
Lineage: Eukaryota; Metazoa; Chordata; Aves; Galliformes; Phasianidae
Source: RefSeq, a predicted model, not a curated record
GGUGGUAGGGGGAGAUGCUCACAGCAUCUUACAACGAACAACAUCACCAACUUACAACGACAAAAGCAAGGUAAAACCGAACCUACUGUUAAUCUCUGAGAAGGAUACCCCGCCACGUGAUGGCUGAAGCCCACUGACCUGAGAGCAAGCUCCCAACCGCGCGGCCGGUUGGGAAGGAAGCGCGAAAGCACCGCCUCGCGCGCAGCAUCGCGCGCACCGGCGGGAAGCACCGCCUCGCGCUCAGCAUCGCGCGCACCGGCGGGAAGCACCGCCGCGCAGGGAAACUUCCCGAAGGAAAUGGUAGCCUGCCCUGAGCCUUGUCUCAGCUGGGCGAUAGGUUGGGCGCUGCGGCGAUAAUUGCGCUUAAAGCCUGCUGCUGCUUGUCGUCGGGUGCUUUUGUGACUAACAUACUUGAGUGCUGAAACACUAAAGAAAAGGAAGACCCUUUCUAAUGUAUGGAUGCAGACUGACCGUUGUAAAAUGUCAUUGCGCUCCACUAGAAAGUUGUAAAACUGCAUUUAGGAACCAUUAACUUUGAGGUUCUGGUCAACUGAUUGCUUGGGCCCUGUCAAUUGCACUCAGCCUGGUCUACAAAAAAAAGGGUCUUUGAGCUGUUGUCUCUUCUGCACAGGUGCCCAUUUUGCAACAAAAUGAGAUCCGGCAGGAAAUCAGCAGAGCCUGGAUUACACCCUACAAACACAGAUGGAUGAAGAAAUGGACAACUUUUUUCUAUAAACCGCAGGAGUCUGAGUUCAGAUUUCAAGUCAAAACGUGAAUCUGUGGACUAUGAUCAAGGACAGCCACGCAUUCCUGAGCAUACAGCCAGCCAGUGCUGAAGUUUUUGGGUCAAAAUUCAGACUCUUACAGAAUGACUCAUUAUUAAAAGGCUUGUCAGAUGAAGCCAUUGCUUUUCCCUAAUUCUUCUCCAGCCCUCUGUCUGUCUUGUUUUCCAGGCUAGACACACUUGUAUUUCUAGCUGUGAAUUUUUGAAAGUGGUAUGAUUAUACUGCUGGUAAGCACCCAAUCCAGAGUCUGGCGUAGCUAUGCAGACUAUACCAAAUACCUCUAGAAUUUCCUAGCAUUUCAGUCAGCAUUCACGUGUAUCAUCUAGCACUAAGUUUCUGGAAAAUUCCUCUGAGUAUCAUGCCACCCACAGAAGAAUAUUUUGAGGAUGAUAGCAGUGCCAGACCUUCUGCCUACUCUCAUUUUUAGUGUUCUUAUCCUUAAUCUCUUUCUAGAGUCUUUCUUCUGCAAGGGGAACAUCAUUUUCUCUCCCUAUGAAG